RNAcentral lists this ribosomal RNA (433 nucleotides) under uncultured bacterium. RNAcentral describes it as "partial 16S ribosomal RNA". It matches the Rfam family "Bacterial small subunit ribosomal RNA", at positions 28 to 507 of the family's 1533-position model. The record is from RNAcentral.
GACGAACGCUGGCGGCAUGCCUAACACAUGCAAGUCGAACGAUAACUUCGGGUCUUGCUGCGCACGGGUACUUACCGCGUGGUGACUUGCGCUUAGGUUCGGAAUAACUUCCCGAAGGGGGUGCUAUUACAGCGUAAUCUCUUCGGACAAAAGAUUUAUCGUCUUUGGAUGGGCCCGCGUUGGAUUCGCUGGUUGGUAGCGUAAAAGCCUACCAAGGCGACGAGCCAUAGCUGGUCGGAGAGGAUGACCAGCCACACUGGGAGUGAGACACGGCCCAGACUCCUACGGAUGGCAGCAAGUGGGAAUAUUGGACGAUGGGCGAAAGCCGGAGCCAGCAAGGCCGCGUGAGUGAGUAAGGCCUUAGGGUUGUAAAGCACUGUUACCAGGGAAGAUAGUGACAGUACCGGGAGAAUAAGCUCCGGCUAACUCCGUG